RNAcentral lists this ribosomal RNA (447 nucleotides) under uncultured bacterium. RNAcentral's name for it is "bacterial SSU rRNA". It matches the Rfam family "Bacterial small subunit ribosomal RNA", at positions 355 to 825 of the family's 1533-position model. The record is from RNAcentral.
UCGGGAAUUUUGGACAAUGGGCGAAAGCCUGAUCCAGCCAUGCCGCGUGAGUGACGAAGGCCUUAGGGUUGUAAAACUCUUUCGUCGGGGACGAUAAUGACGGUACCCGAAGAAGAAGCUCCGGCUAACUUCGUGCCAGCAGCCGCGGUAAUACGAAGGGAGCUAGCGUUGUUCGGAAUCACUGGGCGUAAAGCGCACGUAGGCGGAUAGUUAAGUCAGGGGUGAAAUCCUGGGGCUCAACCCCAGAACUGCCUUUGAUACUGGCUGUCUCGAGGUCGAGAGAGGUUGGUGGAAUUCCUAGUGUAGAGGUGAAAUUCGUAGAUAUUAGGAAGAACACCAGUGGCGAAGGCGGCUAACUGGUCCGGUACUGACGCUGAGGCGCGAAAGCGUGGGGAGCAAACAGGAUUAGAUACCCUCGUAGUCCCUGAGCGGGCUGGCAAGGCGCAU